RNAcentral lists this long non-coding RNA (1844 nucleotides) under Homo sapiens (human). RNAcentral describes it as "HSALNT0384526". Lineage: Eukaryota; Metazoa; Chordata; Mammalia; Primates; Hominidae. The record is from RNAcentral.
AUGCCACUGCACUCCAUUCUGGACGACAGAGCCAGACUCUGUCUCAAAAACAAAAAACAAAAAAAGCAAACCUUGUUCACAAAAUUAUUAUGGGGCACCCAGUAGUAGCCCCUGAGCUGGAUGUGUGGUAGACUCCCCAGAUGUUAACCUGAAGUCUGCCCUACUGUGGCGAAACCUGCUUGUGUGCUAGAAAAAAGACCCAAGCUGCCGAAAACCACCUGUACCGUAUCCUGCCCCAUUUGUCCUCACCCAACUUCUGGUAAGUAGUGUCCAUUGAAAAAUGCUAGUUGGGCUGACAUGGUGGCCUGAGCAAUAAUGCAUCUCAGGAGUCUGUUGGCGGGGUGGAGGUAGGAAAAGGAGGGCACUGUGUGUUUUUCCUGACAGUCCCCUCAGAAAUGCUGGUGGCUUGGUGCUGGAAGGGUGUUGCCUCACCAUGUUAGCUGAGCUGUGUGGUUUCUUUGAAUGUUAACAACUUUCACUGUUUCGGCUUGAGUUUCCUCCCUGACAUCACCAGAUGAAAACAUAUGUCAGAGGUUUUGGGUUUCUGGUGCCAAAUCCAAGAUGGCUUAUCAGCAAGCGCCCCCCGCCAGACAGUGGAGGCUGUGCUGGGGCAGAGCUGCUUCCCCUUUGACAUUGGCUUUUUUCUAAAACCGAAAAUAAGCAACCGUGGCUGUGACUUCACUUUUCUUGGAACUGCUUUACAUUACCCCCCAAAUGGAGAAAACCCUCAUUUAGCAGCUUUUGGAUUGCCAAGUUCUCUAAUUCUUUCUGUUGCAUAUUCUUGUAAUGCUCAAGUUUUACUGACAAAGUCUUCUGCAUCAGGUGAAGCAGGAGGAGGAAGGAAUGACCAUGUGAAGUAACUGAGCGCUUUGUUGCCUGGCCUGUGGGUGUGUGGUUUCAUGGUUGAGGAGAAAAAGCACCUGGAAGACACAGUGUGUGUAGAAUGCCUUCCAGUUCCAAGGGUGACAACCCUGCGAUCUGCUGGCCAGCAGAUGGGCUAGGGCUGCUGUUGCUAAACAUCAGGCUACAGCCGAAACUUACAGAGCAGCUGCCUGCUUCAAGGACAAGGGGAAAAAUGCAUUUUCAGUCAUAAUGACCUACAUUUAGCAGAUAUUUCGGAGCCCGUGCGAAAGGACAUCUUCAAAGGGCCUCUUCCUCCUUGUGAUAAGGGAGACAGUGAUGUUAGUCAAACGUGGGGCCCAGUCCUGGUCCUGCCCGUUCCUGUCUGACUUUGGCCUUGGAAGUCUGUGAAGCCGAGACAAUUCAUCCUUCAAAGGGUGGUACCGGAUAUGUUGUCAUUACCAUGGGGAUUACACGAAACAUCCUGAAGUUAGAGCAAUCCAUUUUAAACUGAUGUUUUGUUGAUGGCUGACGUAGCGGACUCAAAACAACGAGCACUUCUGCUUGAUACACAGAUUCUCCGAGGUUCCUGUGGAGCCACAGCACCUCCUGUCUUGGCACUUCAUAGUUGUCUCAUCGAGUCCAAGGCUGCCUCCCAAGGGUCUGGCUGGUAGACCAUGAAGUUGAUUCCUGCCUUAAGCCUGGCUCUGCAAGAAGUUGUCCUAUAUUCUCACCAGUCACAUUUUUGGUACUAGAACGGUGCUUUUUAUAGUGCACUCGUAACUGGACGCUGAAAUCACAGCCUGGCCAUUUGGAUGUUCAACCGAUGCUUUAUGCUGCUGAGUCCUUGGAACUCACUCCCCGUGCCGGAACUCACUGGAGCUCAGGUGUGUGGCACUACCUUGUUUCUCUGCAGCUGGUAUUGCAAACAUUUUUCAUGCAUUUAUUUCCCAUUGUUUACUUUUGAGUUUUUGUUUUGUGAGACAGGGUCUCAGUCUGUCACG